This 229-nucleotide ribosomal RNA is filed under the name uncultured bacterium. RNAcentral describes it as "partial 16S ribosomal RNA". It matches the Rfam family "Bacterial small subunit ribosomal RNA", at positions 568 to 796 of the family's 1533-position model. The record is from RNAcentral.
UGCGUAGGCGGACUAAUAAGUCAGUGGUGAAAUCUCUCGGCUCAACCGGGAAACUGCCAUUGAUACUGUUAGUCUUGAGUUCGGUUGAGGUAGGCGGAAUGUGUAAUGUAGCGGUGAAAUGCUUAGAUAUUACACAGAACACCAAUUGCGUAGGCAGCUUACUAGACCGACACUGACGCUGAGGCACGAAAGCGUGGGUAGCGAACAGGAUUAGAUAUCCUGGUAGUCC